GUAGGUGGCAAGCGUUGUCCGGAAUUAUUGGGCGUAAAGCGCGCGCAGGUGGUUCUUUAAGUCUGAUGUGAAAGCCCCCGGGCUCAACCGGGGAGGGUCAUUGGAAACUGGGGAACUUGAGUGCAGGAGAGGAAAGUGGAAUUCCACGUGUAGCGGUGAAAUGCGUAGAUAUGUGGAGGAACACCAGUGGCGAAGGCGACUUUCUGGCCUGUAACUGACACUGAGGCGCGAAAGCGUGGGGAGCAAACAGGAUUAGAUACCCUGGUAGUCCUUGCCGUAAACGAUGAGUGCUAAGUGUUGGGGGGUUUCCGCCCCUCAGUGCUGCAGCUAACGCAUUAAGCACUCCGCCUGGGGAGUACGGUCGCAAAGACUG
Molecule: ribosomal RNA, 373 nt
Filed under: uncultured organism
Description: partial 16S ribosomal RNA
Rfam family: Bacterial small subunit ribosomal RNA
Source: RNAcentral